GACGAACGCUGGCGGCGUGCUUAACACAUGCAAGUCGAACGGUGAAGCCCUUCGGGGUGGAUCAGUGGCGAACGGGUGAGUAACACGUGAGCAACCUGCCCCUGGCCCUGGGACAACCACUGGAAACGGUGGCUAAUACCGGAUACGACCCGCCUCGGCAUCGAGUGUGGGUGGAAAGUUUUUCGGCUGGGGAUGGGCUCGCGGCCUAUCAGCUCGUUGGUGAGGUGAAGGCUCACCAAGGCGACGACGGGUAGCCGGCCUGAGAGGGCGACCGGCCACACUGGGACUGAGAGACGGCCCAGACUCCUACGGGAGGCAGCAGUGGGGAAUAUUGCACAAUGGGCGAAAGCCUGAUGCAGCGACGCCGCGUGAGGGAUGACGGCCUUCGGGUUGUAAACCUCUUUCAGCUCCGAAGAAGCGAAAGUGACGGUAGGAGCAGAAGAAGCACCGGCUAACUACGUG
RNAcentral lists this ribosomal RNA (462 nucleotides) under uncultured bacterium. RNAcentral describes it as "partial 16S ribosomal RNA". It matches the Rfam family "Bacterial small subunit ribosomal RNA", at positions 28 to 507 of the family's 1533-position model. The record is from RNAcentral.